AGUGCAGGGGACUUUUAAGGAAGUACCUGAGAACAGCCAACUUUGAGUUUAAGUUACACAUUUAAUACUGAAUGAUGCUGUUUUAUGGCUUAUACAGGAAUUUGACAGAUGACUGAUGGAUUCAGAAGCAUUUCUGUAGAUUAAUCUCGCUCGGAGUCGAGGACAAACGCAGGACAGAGCAGCUCCAGAGGGCAAACGGCAGAGACGGACGGGAGCAAUGAACCCUGGGAUUGAGCUGGAAGACUCCUGUCCCGUUCAGGAGAUACAGAUCUUCCAGUAACAGUCUUGUGUCUCGGAAGUGUCCUUUGACAUCCACAUCAUAAAACAGAGGAGUUUCCAUAGCAACCAAUCCCACAGAAGCCAUUUGUGAGGAAACGCUCACAAUAUCUGACGUUCUUUUCCCAGAAGACGAAAGCGUCCAGACGCAGGGUUGAUUUUCAUGUUUCGUGUUUUCUGUGAAAGUGUGUAAAUCAAACUGAAGUUUCCUAAAAUGUUCUGAGAUAUUCUGUCUGCAUGGCAUUAAACACUUGGAGGGUCAGACGACAUGCGUGUGUGACGCCGAGGCCCCAGACAUCACGCGAAAAUGAGUUUUUGAGGGGAAUACAUUACGGAACGCUGUAUUAUAGAUGAGGUGCUCUUAUAAAAGAUCACAUCUGUCCUCCAGAGGAAUCACAAACUACAACUCGCGAGUUUGAGGAAGAUCUGAGUGAAACCGAGAGGCCACUUUAAUUUUUCAUCAGUCAGAGUUGGACGUGAACACAAUG
Long non-coding RNA from Sinocyclocheilus rhinocerous, 764 nucleotides. RefSeq lists it as uncharacterized. NCBI's taxonomy places the organism in Eukaryota, Metazoa, Chordata, Actinopteri, Cypriniformes, Cyprinidae. The record is from RefSeq and is a predicted model, not a curated record. The transcript is spliced from 3 exons.